Long non-coding RNA from Stomoxys calcitrans (stable fly), 492 nucleotides. RefSeq lists it as uncharacterized. The transcript has 4 exons. Lineage: Eukaryota; Metazoa; Arthropoda; Insecta; Diptera; Muscidae. The record is from RefSeq and is a predicted model, not a curated record.
CAAGCAUAAUAGACCUAAGGUCUAUGGCAAGUUCAGUAUGGCAAGUCUAUGGCAAGCACAGCAACAAAUUAAUUUCCAAAAUAUGGAGGAACUUUAUAGAGCUCGUAUCUUUUUCACUUCAACAAGAAAAAUUUAAGUGCUAGCUACAAUUCCAGUUCAGUGGCCCGAACACUCAUUCACUUAUCUUUGGAAAGGAACUUCAUGAACAAUUCAUUCACUUUAUUACCAUCAAUAUUCAAAUAGCCGCUAUUGUUGUUAAAACAAAACAGCAAGAUGACAUUUUCAUUUGACCCAGCGAGCAAAGCUCAGAACAUCAUAUGAAGAAAUCUUGCAAAAUCUCCAAAAACCAGAUUUAAGGUCGCCGCAAUCCAACACUGAAACUCAACAACAAAGAAUUUUUUCAAUAUUUUCCAUGAACUGAUUUCGAUACGAAAACGAUUAAAGCUGAUCAUUUUUCAAAAAUACCUGAACCUUAACCAAGAUCAAGUGAGG